This is a long non-coding RNA of Apis mellifera (honey bee), 713 nucleotides long. RefSeq lists it as uncharacterized. The record is from RefSeq and is a predicted model, not a curated record. Lineage: Eukaryota; Metazoa; Arthropoda; Insecta; Hymenoptera; Apidae. The transcript has 3 exons.
AGAAAAUUGGUUACCAGAUAUAGAACUUUUGAUCCUUCGAAGAAUUUAAAGUUGUGAAUAUUAAUUUAGAUAAAAAUGAUUUGAGGCAUAUCAAAAGAACAUUAACAUUAACGUAUUACGUAACAGGAUGAACAAGAUAAAAUGUAAGCAUUGAUUUCGAUAAUCUAAUUACGGAUGAUGGAGAUACACAUUUCGAGAUGGUACUUUAACAAUUGAAAGUUUAGAUGGAAAUAAUUAUAUUUAGAUUCAACGACUCAAUUUAGAAUGUGUAUGUAUACAAUUUUACCACAUAGUAUCGUGAAAAUUUUGAAUCGGAUGUGAUCGUUCCUUAUUAGAGAGAAUAUGAUAUCUCUCUAAUAUAUUUUUAUAUAUUUAAAAUAUAUUCAUGAUAGGCAAUGAUAGAGAUUGGCAUGGUGAAAUUAGAUAGAAGUUGAAAAUGAUAAGCGAUAUGUAAUUGAACAAACGAAUCAUAGAAAAAAUUGAAGAUAAUUAUGAUAAAUUUAUGAAAAUAAAUAUAAAUUGAUGAUAUCUUCGUUAAUAGUAUUCCUAUGUAUUUAGAAGCUGUGUAUUGAAAAAAAAAAAAAAUAAAAAGAAGAAAAGAAAAAGGAAUGCUAUGUAGUACUAGCAAUUUGAAAAAUGAUUUGAUAGGCACGAGGUAAAAGAGAUCAAAAAACAUGAAAGAACUGAUUGAAACGAAUGUAUAUGUACAUAUA